RNAcentral lists this ribosomal RNA (490 nucleotides) under uncultured bacterium. Its description in RNAcentral is "partial 16S ribosomal RNA". It matches the Rfam family "Bacterial small subunit ribosomal RNA", at positions 30 to 507 of the family's 1533-position model. The record is from RNAcentral.
AUUGAACGCUGGCGGCAGGCCUAACACAUGCAAGUCGAACGGUAACAGGAAGAAGCUUGCUUCUUUGCUGACGAGUGGCGGACGGGUGAGUAAUGUCUGGGAAACUGCCUGAUGGAGGGGGAUAACUACUGGAAACGGUAGCUAAUACCGCAUAACGUCGCAAGACCAAAGAGGGGGACCUUCGGGCCUCUUGCCAUCGGAUGUGCCCAGAUGGGAUUAGCUAGUAGGUGGGGUAACGGCUCACCUAGGCGACGAUCCCUAGCUGGUCUGAGAGGAUGACCAGGCAAACUGGAAAUGAGACACGGUCCAGACUCCCACGGGAGGCAGCCGUUGGGAAUAUUGCACAAUUGGCGCAAGCCUGAUGGAGCCAUGCCGGGUGUAUGAAGAAGGCCUUCGGGUUGUAAAGUACUUUCAGCGGGGAGGAAGGGAGUAAAGUUAAUACCUUUACUCAUUGACGUUACCCGCAGAAGAAGCACCGGCUAACUCCGUG